AUCCUUUUGUAGUUCUUAAGUGUGAUGACUGUGGGCCUCCCUCAAACCUUGUUAUGAUGUCGGCCCAUUACCCGUCUGACA
Molecule: small nucleolar RNA, 81 nt
Organism: Papio anubis (olive baboon)
Lineage: Eukaryota; Metazoa; Chordata; Mammalia; Primates; Cercopithecidae
Source: Ensembl